GACGAACGCUGGCGGCGUGCCUAAUACAUGCAAGUCGAACGAGAGCAACCGGUGCUUGCACUGGUCAAUCUAGUGGCGAACGGGUGAGUAACACGUGGGUAACCUGCCCAUCAGAGGGGGAUAACAUCCGGAAACGGAUGCUAAAACCGCAUAGGUCUUCGAACCGCAUGGUUUGAAGAGGAAAAGAGGCGCAAGCUUCUGCUGAUGGAUGGACCCGCGGUGCAUUAGCUAGUUGGUGAGGUAACGGCUCACCAAGGCCGUGAUGCAUAGCCGACCUGAGAGGGUGAUCGGCCACAUUGGGACUGAGACACGGCCCAGACUCCUACGGGAGGCAGCAGUAGGGAAUCUUCCGCAAUGGACGAAAGUCUGACGGAGCAACGCCGCGUGAGUGAAGAAGGUUUUCGGAUCGUAAAACUCUGUUGUUAGAGAAGAACAAGUGCUAGAGUAACUGUUAGCGCCUUGACGGUAUCUAACCAGAAAGCCACGGCUAACUACGUG
RNAcentral lists this ribosomal RNA (498 nucleotides) under uncultured bacterium. RNAcentral describes it as "partial 16S ribosomal RNA". It matches the Rfam family "Bacterial small subunit ribosomal RNA", at positions 28 to 507 of the family's 1533-position model. The record is from RNAcentral.